Molecule: unclassified non-coding RNA, 348 nt
Filed under: soil metagenome
Description: partial contains 5.8S ribosomal RNA, internal transcribed spacer 2, and large subunit ribosomal RNA
Rfam family: 5.8S ribosomal RNA (bases 1-120)
Source: RNAcentral
GAUGAAGAACGUAGCAAAAUGCGAUAAGUAAUGUGAAUUGCAGAAUUCAGUGAAUCAUCGAAUCUUUGAACGCACAUUGCGCCCGCUGGUAUUCCGGCGGGCAUGCCUGUUCGAGCGUCAUUUCAACCCUCAAGCCCCCGGGUUUGGUGUUGGGGAUCGGCUCUGCCCUUCUGGGCGGUGCCGCCCCCGAAAUACAUUGGCGGUCUCGCUGCAGCCUCCAUUGCGUAGUAGCUAACACCUCACAACUGGAACGCGGCGCGGCCAUGCCGUAAAACCCCAACUUCUGAAUGUUGACCUCGGAUCAGGUAGGAAUACCCGCUGAACUUAAGCAUAUCAAUAAGCGGAGGA